Molecule: ribosomal RNA, 392 nt
Filed under: uncultured Gammaproteobacteria bacterium
Lineage: Bacteria; Pseudomonadati; Pseudomonadota; Gammaproteobacteria
Description: bacterial SSU rRNA
Rfam family: Bacterial small subunit ribosomal RNA
Source: RNAcentral
AUUGAACGCUGGCGGCAGGCUUAACACAUGCAAGUCGAGCGGAAACGAGAAGUACUUGUACUUCGGCGUCGAGCGGCGGACGGGUGAGUAAUGCUUGGGAAUAUGCCUUUUGGUGGGGGACAACAGUUGGAAACGACUGCUAAUACCGCAUAAUGUUUACGGACCAAAGCGGGGGCUUCUUCGGAACCUCGUGCCAAAAAGAUUAGCCCAAGUGAGAUUAGCUAGUUGGUGGGGUAAUGGCCUACCAAGGCGACGAUCUCUAGCUGGUUUUGAGAGGAUGAUCAGCCACACUGGGACUGAGACACGGCCCAGACUCCUACGGGAGGCAGCAGUGGGGAAUAUUGCACAAUGGGGGAAACCCUGAUGCAGCCAUGCCGCGUGUGUGAAGAAGG